GAUCCUGGCUCAGGAUGAACGCUAGCGACAGGCUUAACACAUGCAAGUCGAGGGGCAGCGAGGAAGUGGCAACACUUCUGUCGGCGACCGGCGCACGGGUGAGUAACGCGUAUGCAACCUGCCCUUCACAGGGGGGAUAACCGGGAGAAAUUCCGACUAAUACCGCAUACGUCCUCCGGGGGCGAUCCCAGGGGGAGUGAAAGAAUAUCGGUGAAGGAUGGGCAUGCGUGAUAUUAGGUAGUUGGCGGGGCG
RNAcentral lists this ribosomal RNA (252 nucleotides) under uncultured bacterium. Its description in RNAcentral is "partial 16S ribosomal RNA". It matches the Rfam family "Bacterial small subunit ribosomal RNA", at positions 15 to 259 of the family's 1533-position model. The record is from RNAcentral.